This 247-nucleotide unclassified non-coding RNA is filed under the name uncultured Agaricales. RNAcentral's name for it is "sequence contains ITS2". The record is from RNAcentral. Lineage: Eukaryota; Fungi; Basidiomycota; Agaricomycetes; Agaricales.
AAUUCUCAACCUCAUGUCUUCCAUUUUGGAAGGCUUGGGUAUUGGAAUGUGGGAGUGUGCCAUGUUUCCUUUUGAGGGGACAGAGGCUCUCCUGAAAUGCAUAGUGAAUCCAGCUUUCUGUCCUGGGGUCGUUGAAGCUUUGGUUUGAUAGUCCUUUGUUUGUCUAUGUCCCACUGCUACAACAAGAGUACCCCAGAAACCUUGGAACGUCUGGGUGGCACUGCAAAUUUACCCCUCCUUUUUGACA